UUACCUAUGAAUUUUAUCUGUGGAAUCUGGUAAUUGUCAUGGCGUAGCAGGUUGCCGUCAGUACGGGGAUGGAGAAGUUAUUGUGUUUUUUGGUGUUUUUUCUAUCAGUAACUAUACAACGUAUAGAAUAUUAUUGGAAAAGGUUGAUGUCCAUAAACAGCAGAACAUCUUGGCCUGAAGUGCUUUUCAGCACAAAUACAGCAGCAGUACACAGUGGUUUGAAUACGAGUGAACACAUCAGCAUGGCUACAAAAUGAAUCACUGAGCUUUUUCAGGAUCUGCAACUAUGCUGAGC
Zootermopsis nevadensis is the source of this 295-nucleotide non-coding RNA. The record is from RefSeq and is a predicted model, not a curated record. Lineage: Eukaryota; Metazoa; Arthropoda; Insecta; Blattodea; Termopsidae.